Molecule: ribosomal RNA, 433 nt
Filed under: uncultured bacterium
Lineage: Bacteria
Description: partial 16S ribosomal RNA
Rfam family: Bacterial small subunit ribosomal RNA
Source: RNAcentral
AACGAACGCUGGCGGCAUGCCUAACACAUGCAAGUCGAACGAGCCCUUCGGGUCUUUUGGCGUCUGGGUUUGUCACGCGUCGGAACCUUCCCUUAGGUUUGGCAUAACUCCCCGACUGGGGUGCUUACACCGGAUCAUGUCUUCUGCCCAAGGAUUUAUCGCCUUUGGUUGUGCCCGCGUUGGAUUAGCUUUUUCUUACGGUAAUAGCUUACUACGGGGAGGAUCCAUAGCUGGUUUGAGAGGAUGAUCAGCGACACUGGGACUGAGACACGGCCGAGAAUCCUACGGGAAGGGGGAGUGGGGGAUAGAGGAAAGUGGGGGGAGGGCUGAAGCAGCAAUGCCGCGUGAGUGAUGAAAGCAGUAGGGAUGUAAAGCGCUAUUACCCGGGAAGAUAAUGACAGUACCGGGAGAAUAAGCUACGGCUAACUCCGUG